RNAcentral lists this long non-coding RNA (863 nucleotides) under Trifolium pratense (red clover). RNAcentral describes it as "long non-coding RNA (TPRA_LNC010112)". The record is from RNAcentral. Lineage: Eukaryota; Viridiplantae; Streptophyta; Magnoliopsida; Fabales; Fabaceae.
CCAGCAACACCCACCUCUCACCUUCACGUACGAAGAACCCAGCGCCGUCCUCACCUUCAAUUCGCAUCCCAAAAAGCAGCAACCCAGAGCCGUCCUCACCUUCGCAAAAACCAGCGCCGUCCUCUCUCUCAACUCACCACGAGCGCCGUCCCCUCUCACGAACCCUAACUCCAAAUCGAAGCUUCUCUUUCUUUCUCCGGCCUCUACUCUCACGAAUCAAAGCUUGUUUUUCUCUCUCACAUCGAUUCAGGUACUCUUCUUUCUUUUUUAAUCCUUUUUAAAUAUUUUCCUUUUUUUGAUUUCUGUCGUGAUUUUCCUUUUUAAUUGUUACGUGGUUAUGUGGUUUUGAUGGGAGAUGGGUAUGAUUAUGGUGGAAGUGUGUGGUGAGGAAUUUGUUUUCACGCAUAGAAGAAGGUCUAAUUUGUGUUUUCUGUUCUCUAUUGUCUCAGUUUGUUGGUUACAAAAUCUCCCUUUGUUCUGAUUUUUUCAUGGUUUAUUACUUGGUUUGUUACUUGAUUUCUUUGUGAUUUCUUUCGUGAUUUUACAUGGUUUGUGGUUUGUUACUUGGUUUUAGCUCUUAGAAUUGUUUCUACUGCAAUUGAUUUAUGUUUUUUUUNNNNNNNUUUCAUCUGCAAUUGAUUCAUUUAAGUGAUUGGUUUCCCAUCGAGUACGAAACCAAUACUUUAGUUGGUGUUACCAUGUUUUAACUUAAUUUCACAACAUAGGUAUGGAUCGUAGUUGGAUGAAAGCUAGUAGAUUAAGUGCCGAGUUUGAACGGCGAGUGAUUGAAUUUAUUCGAUUUGCUGAAAUCAAUCUUCCAUCUCCCGAAAAUAAUGAUGAAAAAAAUCUUCCUCCUAAAAGUA